This is an RNA transcript of Papilio machaon (common yellow swallowtail), 3029 nucleotides long. It is a transcript of the gene named probable RNA-directed DNA polymerase from transposon BS, with no coding region annotated. The record is from RefSeq and is a predicted model, not a curated record. Lineage: Eukaryota; Metazoa; Arthropoda; Insecta; Lepidoptera; Papilionidae. The transcript has 2 exons.
CCAGAUCCGGUAAGUGAUGGAAAUAUUUUAGCAUGCUACGAUCUUUUUUUUAAAUCUCUCAUAUCUUCAGCUGACUCUCAUAUUCCUAAAAAACACCCUCCCAAAAAUCAUCUGCUUUCUUCUCCCUGGUGGGAUGAUGAAUGCAAUGAUUUAUUUGCUCAAAGAACAUCUGCAGAAAAGACAUAUUCAAAUUGUAUGUCUCAGGAGAACUUUAUUAAAUAUCAGAGGCUUGAUUCCAAAGUUAAAAAGUUAGUUGCAAGGAAGAAAAGAAGUAGUUGGACUCGGUUUUGUGAAUCACUUAGUCCUAGAUCCCCAUCUUCAAUUGUAUGGACGAAUAUUAGGAAAUUUCGACGUUCCCUCAACCAUACUGAUCCCUCAUCCAACAAUCCCUUGGAUUGGCUUAAUGACUUUGCUGACAAAUUGGCUCCACCUUAUGUCCCUAAUAUUGACUUGUUUCCAAAUUUUACUCCAACUCCCUCUUCAGAUGAUAUGGAUGCUCCCUUUUCUUUUUCUGAGCUCCAAAUUGCUCUGAAUGGCUUAAAGGAUUCGACACCAGGGGAAGAUGGCGUCCCUUAUUCGUUUUUGACUAAUCUAAAUGACAAAGCUAAAAUCCAUUUCCUCAAUAUAAUUAAUAAAUUUUUUGAAACUGGUACUGUCCCUCACUCCUGGAAAUCCCAAAUAGUUAUUCCUGUUAUCAAACCUGGUAAAAAUCCCUUGGAUUCUUAUUCCUAUAGACCCAUAGCUUUGUCAACUACAUUGGCAAAAAUAACAGAACAUCUUCUUAAAAACCGCCUGGAAUGGAUAAUUGAAAGUAAGAAUAUUCUUCCCUCCUCCCAAUUUGGGUUUCGGAAGGGACUGAGUACUACUGACAGCCUCGGCAUAUUGACAACAGACAUCCGGAUAGCCUUUACAAAAGGCGAGUACCUUGCGGGCGUUUUUCUAGAUAUCGCUUCUGCAUAUGACAACGUUCAACUUCCGGUACUCAGGCAAAAAUUGCAAUCUCUGAGUAUCCCGCCGAAGUUAACACAUUUUAUAUGUAGCCUGCUGUUCUGCAGGUCCAUAGUGGUCAAACACCAGUCAUCCUCUCUUCCCCCCAGACUCGUCUGGAAAGGUCUCCCUCAAGGCUCAGUUCUCAGCCCUCUUCUAUAUAGCAUUUAUACACAUGAUCUCGAAUUGUCUGUCAGCAGUUUUUGUAACAUCCUGCAAUACGCUGAUGAUAUUGCCCUCUAUCACAGCUCUGGCAGUGUAGAGGAAAUAUCUUGUCGUAUUAAUUCUGCUUUAUAUUAUCUAGGUCAGUGGCUUUCUGAUCAUGGUUUGUCCCUCUCUGUAGGGAAAUGCCAGGCAGUGGUUUUUACAAGGAAAAGGUCCCUUCCAUCCUUCCAAUUUUCAAUUGAGGAUCAACUAAUCCAUCUUUCAGAUAAAAUAAAAUUUUUGGGUAUUUACCUUGAUAACCGCCUUUCUGGAAUUGCACAUUCUGAACAUAUUAUCAAAAAAUGUGAAAAGGGGAUUAAUGUGAUACGAGCAGUAGCAGGAGUCUGGUGGGGUGCCCACCCAUACUCCUUAAAACUUUUAUAUAAUGCCUUAGUUAGAAGCCAUAUGGAUUAUUGCAUGUUUAUUCUUGAACCUUUUAAUAAAUCCGCAGUUCAAAAACUUAAUAAUAUUCAAUUCAGAUGCCUCAGAAUUAUACUGGGCGCAAUGAAAUCUUCCCCCACCAAUGCACUUCAAGUGGAAUGUGUGGAUCCUCCUCUAACAAUUCGUCGCCAGUACCUUUGUGACCGGUUUGUUAGCAAGAUGUUACAAUUAUCAUCCCACCCCCUUUGGCCCAGAUUAACUCAACUAUCUAGUGCUCCCCAAUCCCGUAACUCUUCAUCAUAUUUAGUAGAUAGUUUUUUGAAAUACACUAAUCUCCCUCAUCCGGUUUCAACUUUCCCACUUAAUCCAUUGUUUUCUACCCCUUAUAAUGCUCUAGUAUAUAACCCUCUUAUCAUCACUGAUAUUGGCCUGGUUAAAGGUGCCCCAGACACUAACAAUAAAUUUCAAAAUUAUAUUCACCAAAAUUGGUCAAAUCACAUUCUUAUUUAUACUGAUGCAUCAAAGCUGUCCCCUGAUGGCUGUGUUGGUGCUGCCUGUUGGGUUCCCAGGUAUAAAAUAAUUUUAAAGUUUAAAUGCCCUCCCGAGUCUUCUGUGUUUACAGGAGAAGCCACUGCUUUAUUGGAAGCAAUUUUGUUUGCACAUUCCCAUAACCUCAAACAAACUGUAAUUUUGACUGACUCCCUUAGUUGUUUAAUGUCUAUAAAAGAAAAUCCUUUUCGAAGCAAGUCAAGAUUUCCCAUUAUUUUGAAGAUCAGGGAAGCUUUGCUCUCGUGUAAUCAAAAAGGAUUAACCAUAAUUUUGGUUUGGAUCCCUAGCCACUCCGGUAUCCCUGGAAACGAGACUGUUGAUUCCUGCGCUAAAUUAGCUGUUAUCUCUGGCUCUCUUGACCAUUUCCAAAACUCGGCUCAAGAUUUAUGCGGUCUUGCAAAAACUUAUCUUAACCGAUCUUGGAAUACACUCUGGAAUUAAUCAAAGUCCAUCAAAGGCAAAUAUUAUGCCUCAAUCCAGCCGGACAUACCAACUCGACCAUGGUUUUUCAAAUAUAGGAAUGCUGAUCGCUGGGUCACCUCUACUAUUUCCCGGUUACGGCUUGGUCACUCUUGUACACCUGUUUUUUUGGCCAAACUCCGGAUAAGGAAUAGCUCUAUAUGUGAAUGUGGCUUGGAUGAAGGCACUGUAUCACACAUCCUUUUCAACUGUCCCAAACUUCUUCAUCCUCUUUAUGAUGUCCUCCCCCCUAACAUCCCUCGUCCCGUAAACGUGUGAGUGUGGCUAAUGUUAAAAAUAAACUUCUCUUUACUACAUAGCUGAUCAAAUUUCGCAACAUAUAUCACCGAUCAAUCUCCUUCGAGCCUCCCUCUUCAACGCGACACUGGCGAAACAAUCAGUGCCCAGUUGGCACACCUAAAAGCCACUGCUUGGAAAUUGAAUUGAAA